Peromyscus californicus insignis is the source of this 1305-nucleotide long non-coding RNA. RefSeq lists it as uncharacterized. The transcript has 3 exons. The record is from RefSeq and is a predicted model, not a curated record. NCBI's taxonomy places the organism in Eukaryota, Metazoa, Chordata, Mammalia, Rodentia, Cricetidae.
CAGGAGCAAUGUGUAAUCUCCAACAAGGCAAAAUUCUCUUUACUUCAUCAAACAUUUUUUCUAAGAUAUCUGUGUCUGAAUCAGCAAAUAAUGAAGCUUGCCUGGCAUCUUUUCCUAUUAUUGACAUUGACAACACUGUGGGAUGCAUUGAAUAAUAUGAACCAAGCAAUGGGAUACUUGGCCUGUAUUUACUGUAGUGGCCUUUUCUCAAAGUUGUCACCCAGUAUAUAGACUCGUGUAGUAUUCAUAAACUGUGAAUAUGCUGCCUCCAGAGCCUGAAUUUCAUCUUUCUAGCAGAAGUGAUACUGGGAAUUGAAAUUAGGGUCUUCUGCAUUCUGUGCAAAUGCUCUACCACUGAACUACAUCCCAACACCAAACCUGAUUUCUUGAAAGGUAAUUCUCUGUGGCAGAGGGAGGUUUUGAUGGAUUGAAAAUUGGAGAUUUCUGUAGAAUCUUGAUGGUGCAUUUCUAAGAAUAGAUUUUUCAAGGUUAGCAAACAACGAACUAGGUGAUGCCUACUUAAAUUGGAAUUGCAUAUAGACAGUUACUAGUCUUUCAGAAUGUCUGUUCCAUUUAUAUGAUAUAUAUGAUAUAUAUAUCUAUUAAUUAUGCUAUUCUCCUUCUCUUUCCUCUAUUCAGUCCCUUUCACACACACACCUCUGUUGCAUUCUCUCAAAAUAAUUGUUUCUGUUUUAAAAAAUAUUGUCACACACACACACACACACACACACACACACUUCUAAAUAUAUAAUGCAGCCUAUCCAAUCUAUAUAAUUUAUUUUUAGAUAUGUUUUCAGGGAUGACCAUUUGGUAUUUGAUAACCAGUUGGUGUGUUUUGCUCUGGGGAAGACUAUUUCUCAUCAUUCAUUAGUUGCCUGGAGUUCUUUGUCUAGGGCUGAGGCCUCAUCAGCUUUUCUCUUCCACCUUAGCAUGUAUAUUGGUGUCAUUCUUGUUCAAGUGUUAUUUAGGCAGCUUCUCUAACAUUUCUAGGAGACACAAUCUCACACAAAAUUUCCUGUGCUCUGGCUCUCACAAUAUUUCUAGCCCCUCUUUUACAAUGAUUUUUGAGCCUUAGGUGUAGGAAUUGUGUUGCAGAUGUAUCAGUUGGGACUAGGCUCCACAAUUCUGUAGUUUGAUUGGUUGUAGUUUUCUGUAAUGGUCUCUAUUUGUUGAAAAGAGAAGUUUCCUUGUUGAGGGGUGAAGACUACACUCAUCUUUGUUUAAAAGGAUAAAUUUUUAGAAUGUAGUUAAGGGACUAUGUUGGUUUAGUAAAGUGGUUGUAGGUUCUCCUCCAAGAUCCAUGAC